AGUGAACGCUGGCGGUAGGCCUAACACAUGCAAGUCGAACGGCAGCACAGUAAGAGCUUGCUCUUACGGGUGGCGAGUGGCGGACGGGUGAGGAAUACAUCGGAAUCUACUUUUUCGUGGGGGAUAACGUAGGGAAACUUACGCUAAUACCGCAUACGACCUACGGGUGAAAGCAGGGGAUCUUCGGACCUUGCGCGAUUGAAUGAGCCGCUGUCGGAUUAGCUAGUUGGCGGGGUAAAGGCCCACCAAGGCGACGAUCCGUAGCUGGUCUGAGAGGAUGAUCAGCCACACUGGAACUGAGACACGGUCCAGACUCCUAAGGGAGGCAGCAGUGGGGAAUGUUGGACAAUGGGCGCAAGCCUGAUACAGCCAUACCGCGUGGGUGAAGAAGGCCUUCGGGUUGUAAAGCCCUUUUGUUGGGAAAGAAAAGCAGCAGGUUAAUACCACGCUGUUCUGACGGUACCCAAAGAAUAAGCACCGGCUAACUUCGUG
RNAcentral lists this ribosomal RNA (492 nucleotides) under uncultured bacterium. Its description in RNAcentral is "partial 16S ribosomal RNA". It matches the Rfam family "Bacterial small subunit ribosomal RNA", at positions 29 to 507 of the family's 1533-position model. The record is from RNAcentral.